This is a non-coding RNA of Microcebus murinus (gray mouse lemur), 7389 nucleotides long. The record is from RefSeq and is a predicted model, not a curated record. NCBI's taxonomy places the organism in Eukaryota, Metazoa, Chordata, Mammalia, Primates, Cheirogaleidae.
CCCGAGACCCGAGGGGCGCGCCCCGGGCCGCAGCGCACGUCUCGGCCCUCUGCCUGCUUCCCAACGCUCCGCCCGGCAGAGGCGGCAGAACCAUUGUUCCACGGCUCGGAGCUCACAUUCCCCAGUCACUGUCAACGGGGAGAAAGAACGAGGCAAAGCAGUGGCUUUGGGGGAAGGGGUGUGAGGGAAUGAAGACUAGUUCAGCCAACCCACCACCCACCUCCCCGGGCUGCAGCAGCGGUGCAAGCCGAGCCUGCGGGCAGAAAAUAAUGCAGGCGCUGCAGAGGAGAGGAGAGGAGAGGGGGGGUGGGGAGCGAGAGCAGAGGAGAAGACAGAAGCGAGAGGAGCCGGCUGCGGAGCACCCACACUGGCGGCGGCUGGAGCGCGGGGUGAGCAGCCGGGAGGGGGGAGGAGGGGGAGUGGUCAGCUGGGGGGUGGGGGGAGCGCGGCGGCUCCAGCCCUCCUUCCCCUCUACGCGCUCUUCUUUCUCGCGCCGGGCAGCCUGGUGCCUGCGCCGGGGGUGUGCGAGUGUGAGCGUGCGUGAGUGGCAGUGGCCGUGGCCGCCGCCGCCCGGACUGCUCCAGGGGCCCGGCAGCUCCGCGCGUCCGCCCGAGGCGCACGGGGGCCCGGGGCGGCCGCUGGUUGGCUCACGCACCGCCCUCGCCUCCAAUCCCCGGUGCCUGUCCUAAUUUCCUGAUCCAGGGAACCUGCCGCCGCGGCAGCUGUGCGCUCCCUACAGUCAUUACUGUACCCUCCCGGCAGCGCCAACAGUAAAUGCAGCCGCAGCAGUUAGCGCUGAUGCAACUAUCGCGGCUGUUGCCACCGCCUCCCCGCUAACGGGGCUCGCAGCUGGGGGGCACUUGCAGCUCCCGGGCAACAAGCAUCUCUCUACCACCCUCUCCUGCGCCCCUAAGAGAGGCUGCUUCUUGAUAUGAUGGAUUACAAUAAUUGAUUUUGGAAUGUUAAACCAGCCUUGCAUACCUGGGAUCACUCCCGCUUGGUCAUGGCCCCCUGGUUGAUACAGAAGACUAUCAUAGGAAUCACAGAGGGCAACCGAAACCAAAGAAAUGACUCCAGCAUUUAGUCAAAGGCAUGCCUGCCUCAAGGGACAAGGAGGAACAGGAACCUCAACAAACAGGGCAAGAGAGAAGCCACAAGAGGACAGGUGGCAGCAUGAGAAAUGUUUCAUUCCCUGUUGUGGUCAUUAGCAUGUGGGGCUUGUGACACACAGAGCCCCAAUUUAAGGAUCUUGUGUUAUAAUUUUUCAAAGACUGUGCAGCAGGUGUACCAGCCAUAGAACUAACACAAAUACAUUGUGAUUUCUAAAGUAUUAUAUACUUUGGAGAUUAGAGGCUUGGGGAUCCUUCUGCUGAGUUUCUUGAGGAAACAUUCCCGAGAGUCAGCAGCAACGCUAAGGCUGAGGCAGCCUGCAAGAGGUAAGAUUCGUCAUCUUUGGGUAGCAGGGUCACCUUGAGAUUUAGCCUCCGGCCCAGUCUAGAGCAGAUCACCUGGAACUGAAAUUUUUAAACACAAGAAUAGGGAGUAUAGUAAUUACCAUGAAGGACAAUGUGGACUAAUGUCUCUCUUUGCUCAAGAGAUGAAGUGAAUUUAAAGGGGUGGGGAGAACACUGUGGCUGGAUGAUAUUUUCAAUAUAUCGAUUGACUUUCCCCCUCUGGCAGCUCCUGUUGCCUCUACCUCUCCCCCUCACUCCAUUCAGGCAUACUUUGUUGUAUUAGGAAAAAAGAAGUUUCACCAGAGGGCAAGAAGAAAAGGCUUUUGAUUUUCACAAGUCAAGACUCGGAGGGCACUUGGCAUGGAAACCCUAGCCUGAGUUGGAGCAAGCUUGUAGCCCCUGGUGGGACCUGAAGUUUUCCAGGUGUGUCUGUGGGGCAGGGAAGGAAGGGAGCUGUUAUAUGCCUGUUAGGAGCUGAGGAGGAGGGGAGGGAAGGGGGAGGAGAGGGAUGCAGAGAGAGCUCUUAGGCAGGGGUAGCCCCUCUGUCCUGUGAGAGAGGGACUCCACACCCUGGUCCCCAGAAGUAAAGGCGGUGGAUGGCAGAAGCUGAAGAUGGGCUGGGGUUGCUGUCACUUCCAAGUAGAGCCCAAGGAGACUGCAAAAUCCCGGAACAGAAAUGGUUGAGUGGUGUCCAGGGGACAGAUGAGCCAGCCUCGAGGACUUGAGUGCACCCCAGCACCACUUGGGCUUGGCAACGGCUGAGAGGAAGUGUGCCACACCUGAAGGAGUCUUGUGUUGGGGAACAGCUGGACAGCAAAGACCCAUGAGGAACAAGAACAUCUCAGCCAAGAGUGGUGCAGACACAACAUCACACAGAGAAUGGGAUGACCUCCCGAGCCCUGUUGCCCUGCUACAAUGUGAGCCGCCUGGAACCCAGAGGAAAGACCUCUUCUUUAGGCCCAGAAGGAAAAGAAAUUCACAGGAGACAAUCAGUCUUAGACUCUUCCUUGGUUAUGAAAAAGAGGCUCUUAGAUCUAAGAGAUCAUCUUGCCCCUGAAAUGGCCCCAGAAAGCUAUGGCCAGAGAAUAAUGAAGGGGAUUUUCUCGUGGCCUCAGACCAGUAACUAUUUCGGACAUUGGAAUGUUGGAAAAGGAAAAUCUCAGCCUUUGUUUCCUGCCUGUGCUCUCACCGUGCCUAGUCACCAUGAUGUCCUUCACAUGAAUCAUGGCAAAAUGCCAUUUCUCCUCUGCAGGUAGUCCUAAAGAGUGGAUGAUCCGCCUAAAAUUGCUCUCUAGAGGACAGGACCAAUGAAUGAGAAUCACAGAGGAACAUGAUCUGAUUCAUCAAGCCCAAGGAGUGUAUAUGUGGCUGCAUUCAAACUCAUUUACCUGUCAAUGGACUUCAGGAUAUUUAGUAGGACAUGCAAGAUUAGGUAAAAGAGGAGUAACAACAGGAGACCCCAUUUAUGUGUAUUUUUGUGAGGAAUACAAGGCUUCUCUUGACUUCUUUGCAUUUUCCUAGAGCCUUUGAUUUUGGAAAUGCCAUCAGAAUGAUGGUUACAUUUUCGGUGGUAGAAAUUAUUGAUGUGUCUCAGAAACAAGGAAUCACAGAAUAUCUACUUUCCAGCAGUGAUGUAUGACUAUUGCAAAGGCCACAUCAUUAUUUAUAAUAUCCUAAGGAUAUUUUUAUGCAAACAGAUACUUCUAACAUUUUCUGCAAUUUCAAAAAAGAAAUAAAGAAAGAAAAAAGAAUUUAAGCAAAUACCCAUCUGUUAGUCCAGUGUUGGAAGUGACCAGCCUUAAAGUAUAAUUGGAGAAUCAGCCAAUACCAAUACUGCUAUUCCUCAUCUCCUUGUGUCCAGCCUGACCCAACAGAAUUUCUUGGACUCCACAAAAAGUUAAUUGAAAAGAUAAAUCUGCUUUGAAAACCAUUUGUAUUUUAAGCAGAGAUGGAAUUUGGGGAAGUGCCAUGUAGCCAUCUAUUAUUCUAUAAAUUGUGAUUAUUGUCAGUGACCUGAAACCUGGAGCAGAUUAUAAUGAUUAAAUAACAUCCACAGUUUUGCUCUUCAGGACUUCCUGUGACCCUCACCUGAUCAUCCCAACACUGCCUGGCCCCUUUAAGCCUAAGUUGCUCUUAUUUAUCUGGGUAGGUGGUUAAUUUUGGAGGCAGCCAUCUUGCAGGUAUUAUUUUCUUCCUCGGUAGACUACAAAGCAUAGAUGGCUGUCCUUUUUCUAAAAAGGAAUGAGGGGGAGAAAAAUGAUACUUUUUUGGUUAUAGGGUUUAAAUAUAUUGUUAGCAUGAUCAGUUGACCAUUGGAGAACUGUGCCUCCCAGUGAAUUGCAUGUCUAUAAACAAAGAUACAAUAGCUGCAUUUUGGAAGCAUGCACAUUCAUAAAACUGGUAGGUCACAUUCAUUGCAAGAGUGCAUCAGCUGGAAUACUGUCUGAGCCUGUGAUUAGGACAUUUAUUUAUUUCACAAAUGUUUAUUGAAAGCCUUCCAGGUACUGUGCAUGGUGUUAGGUGCUGGAGAUGUGUUACUAAGCAAGGCAAACAUGCUUCUUGCUGCUAAAUGUUUCACAACUGGCUUUCCAGAAAUGAAAACUCUGAUUUUUAGUAUUUGCCAAUUUCUGUGGUGUAAAUUCUCCCACCAGAGCCAAUUGCAAGCCAUCAGUGUUAUCCGGUGUGAGGAGGUAUGGGCACAAUCGGCAACUGUGAGCCAGUGUGAGCUGGCUUUGGCACACCACUGGUCCUUGCUGGCCAAGAGCUUAUAGUCAAGUUGGGGACACAUACAUUUAAAAUAUUAUAACUUCAAACUAUGAUAAGGGCUGUGAAGAAGGGGAAUAUCUCAUCAUGAUAGAAUAUAAUAAAGGAAUUAUAAGCUAGAUUGCAGCAUUACUGGAAGUACUCCCAAGGAACUGAUACUUAAGCUGAGAGCUAAAAGUGCAAAAGGAGAUUACUAAAUUAAGAGGAGAGCAUUUCAGACAGAUGUUAUAGCUCAUUGCAAGGGCUUUAUGGUGGGAGGGAACUUGCUGUUUUUGAAGAAAGUAAGAGAAGGCUUUGUGGCUAAAAAGUGAGAGGAAGAAGAACAUGUGGUGAGUUUGAAGUGGUAGGAUGAACCAUGGUUGGCUUAUAAACUAUGAUAAGAAUGUGGAUCUUUAUCUUAAAGUCAGGGGUUAUCCGUUGAAGAGUUUUAAGCCUGGGAUGGAAUGCCUUUGGAAAAGAUCACUCUAGCUAUAGCACAGAGAAUGGAUUGGACUUGACCUGGAUGGAAUGCUGGGAGGCAAUCAGGAGUCUAUUACCUAGUCCAUGGAAGAGAUGCUCGUAAAUUGAACUAGGGUGUUGGCAGUAAAAGUGGAAAGAAGUGGAGAGAGUCCAGAGAUAUUUAUGGCUAUGAAUUGAGGUGAGUUAAUAAGGGUUAGUGCCCAAUAUAUUACCAGGUCUGUCUGGGGUUUGAACAACUGGUGCAAACAGUGGUGUCUCACUUUCUCUGAGAGUGGUGUCAGAGAAAAAAGUAUGAGAACACCAUUUUGUAUAUCUGUGUGUGCACACAGGCAAAGAGGAAUCAUAAUUCUUGGGCAUGAUGAGUUUGAAGCAUCUUCGAGACAUCUCAACGGAUGUGUCAAGUUGGUUGGGCCUAGAACUCAGAAUGAAGGUUUGGCAUAAACUCUGCAUUCUUGAGUGAUUUGCAUAUGGAUGGAUUUUGAGGAAUCUUUUGUCAUUAACCCUGCUGUUUAGGUAGCAGACAUCUUUUUCUCACUUAUUGGACCAUUUAAACUGUCUUUUCUGGGGGUCUUUUUCAUUUGUAUAAGGGGAUAGUAAUGCGUCUUGCCAUCUUCAACAACAUUUGGGGAGUAUUGAAUUUAUUUUGAGUUAUUUUUUCCUUAAAUAUUUGUAUGCACUUUAAUAGGCAGUGUAUUAAAUGAAAUAACACAUGUAAAGUGGUUAACAUAGUGCCUGGCACAUAGUAAGAACUCAGAAAAUGGCACUUUUAUCAUUAUUAUCAUCAUCUUCAUGUUUUGAUCACAGUUCCCUAAUUUUCAUUAUCAAUAGGCUUGCUUUAACAACAUAUUGGAAAGGGACUCAUGAUCUUUAGGGGAAGAUGUCUAAGGUAUGUAGACAUCAGGGGGAGUGUGUGUGUAUGUAUGUAUGCAUGUGUGUAUGUGUGUAAAGGUGUAGGGAAGUAGAGAAGGUUCUGAAAGGAGAAGAUACACCAGCUUUGAUAUAGUUACUUCUGAAAUAUGUGAGAUUAGGGGGGAGUUAGACAACAAACAAGAGGUUUUUUUUCACUAAAAAUAUGUAAAAUUUGAAUUUUGAUGACCAUGUAUUUCUUUUAUAGUUUUUAAAAAAGGAUUCACCUUGCCCAAGUUUAAAAAGCAUAUUUUUCACAUGACAAUGGCCAAACAGUGACCAAAUGUAUAAUGGAUACAAAGCAGUUAUUAUGAGAGAGUCAGAUACUGUAAUAUAUGAAUCAUUGCAGAGGGAAUCACUGCUAAAUGGUUGUUAAAUUGUUUUCCUGGCUAAAAGCAACUACAAUGGUUGACAGAAUCAAGGCACUGUAUUCCAGUUGCUACAUAACAAACCACCCAAAACAGUAGCUUAAAAUAACCAGAGCAUUUACUUUGCUCAUAGACUUGCAAUUUGGCUGGGGCAUGAUGGGGACAUUUUGCCUCUGCCCUAUGUUACAUCAGGUGGGGUGACCAUCUGCAGGAGCAGUCACGUGUCUGGCGGUUGAUGCUGGCUGGACCCCAUGGAGCUGUGGCUGGAACAUCUACAUGUGGCCCUUCCACGGCUGCUGGUCUUCCUCACACUCACCUCAUACAUGUGGCUGGGUUCCAAAGGCAGCUGUCCCAAGAGGGAGCCAGGUGGAAGUUGUAUCAACUUUUAUGACUUAUUCUUGGAAGUCACACAAUAUCGCUUCCUCUAUAUUCUCUUAGUAAAAGGUAGUCACAAUGCAUCACCUACGUUCAAGGAGAGAAAAAUAGAUUCUACCUCUUGAAGGGUGAGUAACAAAUUCUACAAGAGCAUGUGGGAUCGGAAAUAUUAAUGUGGCCAUUUUUGGAAAAUACGACUUCCCACAGUAAGUCCCCUCCUUUCCAAUGUCACCUGUGCCACAAAUCUGCAGUGCACAUAUGGAAAAUUAGCCAGAGUCUCUCAGUUGCCACAGCUGGACGUGAGAAUUGCAACUCUAUUCCAAAACCACAAUCAUGCAUGUGAGAGCUAUAUUUUGACAUGAGAAACCAAAGACUUUUAGUAUUGCAGUGUUGUCUUUCCCAUGCUUAGCAAAAGUAUGAGUUUUAAAUUAAUUUUCCAGUGUACAGUCAGAUUUAUCUUGACCUAAAAGACAAAUUGACACAUUCUAGGGAUGGUGAAAAUCCACCUUAGCUUGGUCUGACCCAAGAAGCUAGUGGGUUUAUAUUAUUUGUUUUUGUUUCUAAACUGACUCCUGAAAUGCAACAAGAGAUAGAGCACAGAAAGGAAAUUCAUGAAAAUGAAUGUUUGCAAUAAAAUUUCAAGUAGUUCUCUUCAGUGCACAUCAGUAUCCUUCUUAUCUACCAGCCACACGUUAUACCAGGCUGUGCGAAACUUAUGUGUUAUUUGAGAGUGGGAUGCAUUUCUCAUAUUAUUUAUUUAUUAGAGUUUGAGUCAAUUCAUUCAUCUCUAUCCCCAAUGCCCUUGGUUUCAACUGGGGCAUGUGUGCAUAGACCGCUAUUAACAGGAGACUAAUCACCCUGUAUUUAUCGAUUACCCAUAGAGUAGUGCUUAAAGGAUUGUCAGAAAAAUCCAAUUAAUUGAGUCCACUAGAUUAGAAUUUCCUUUUCUUUUAUGAUGUGAAUUGUUAGCCCCAAACAAGCUGUAAAUUGCAUUUGCAAAGAUUCUAUUUUUUAAAUUUUUAUUUCUUUACUUUUUUAGAGACAGAGUCUUGCUCUGUCACCCA